AUGGAGGUAAAGAGAGUUUACUUGAAGAUGGAGCAUGGAUAUACUUUCAACGUCAAAUUAUAUAAUGGAGACACAUACACCCAUUUUGAAUGCAAAACUUGGCAAGCACUAUGCAAGGCUUAUGCAUUUGAGCCUGAUAUGGUUAUCACCUUUGAUAUUCGUCCGAAAGAUGAUAUUGAAGGUAAUAUAGACAUUUGGGUCAAUAUGCAAACGCCUCUAGUUCUACUAUUAUCUUAUUUUGGUUCAAGGAAACAUGUCCGGCGCUUGGUAGACAGGACCUACUACUGCCCCGGGGCUCAACUAAACUGUGAGGAGAUAAGUCAUUAUGUUUCAUGGCUUAAGGAUCUUAAUACUGUCAAAAGGUCGCAUUUCAAUGGUUAG
Molecule: ribosomal RNA, 381 nt
Filed under: Triticum aestivum (bread wheat)
Lineage: Eukaryota; Viridiplantae; Streptophyta; Magnoliopsida; Poales; Poaceae
Description: partial small subunit ribosomal RNA
Source: RNAcentral